UGCCAGUAGUCAUAUGCUUGUUUCAAGGACUAAGCCAUGCAUGCCUCAGAAUCACUGCGUUGCAGGAAUCUGCGCAUGGCUCAUUACAUCAGACGUAAUCUGCCGCAAAAAUUGUGCGGUCUCCGCAUCAUUGGAUACCUUGGCGAAACGCCAAGCUAAUACAUGAACCAAUCGGACGUGUUCCGUUCACGCGGCUUGUGGGGUAACACCUGCUUGUCGUAGCGAGCCGUCCAGCGAAUGAAUGAAAUUAAAACCAAUGCCGCGGACGCGGCAGCAGCACUCAGACGUGUUGACUCAAUUCAUUCCGUGCGAAAGCUGGUCUCACCAGCGUCUUUUGACGAACAACUGCCCUAUCAGCCAGUGAUGGCCGUGUAGUGGACUGCCAUGGCGUUGACGGGAGCGGGGGAUUAGGGUUCGAUUCCGGAGAGGGAGCCUGAGAAAUAGCUACCACUUCUACGGAGGGCAGCAGGCGCGCAAAUUGCCCAAUGUCGAGAAAAUACGAUGAGGCAGCGUAAAGAAAUAGGCCUCCUAGCCACUCUGUGGUUGGGAGAUUACAAUGGGGGAUAUUUAAAGCCAUCCAAAAUCGAGUAACAAUUGGAGGGCAAGUCUGGU
RNAcentral lists this ribosomal RNA (612 nucleotides) under uncultured Bodonidae. RNAcentral's name for it is "SSU rRNA". It matches the Rfam family "Eukaryotic small subunit ribosomal RNA", at positions 15 to 565 of the family's 1831-position model. The record is from RNAcentral. Lineage: Eukaryota; Euglenozoa; Kinetoplastea; Eubodonida; Bodonidae.